Molecule: long non-coding RNA, 19073 nt
Filed under: Homo sapiens (human)
Lineage: Eukaryota; Metazoa; Chordata; Mammalia; Primates; Hominidae
Description: non-protein coding LINC00954:11
Rfam family: Metazoan signal recognition particle RNA (bases 17239-17387)
Source: RNAcentral
CUUCUUUCUGCUCCUGUCGCCAUGGCCCCGGCCUCGGCGCUCAAGCGACCCUCUCGCUCCGCCCAGACCCCUGGAUGCCCAGCUGCCGCACCUCCCGUGGCCCCACGCUGUGGCUACGUGUUGUCUGAAGACGCCUGGGGAAACCUUCAGGGCCUCUGUACUGGCCUGUCAUGUGGUCAACCAGAUCUCCUUGAUUGCACGGUCAACCCCGCUCCUGUCUGUCAGGCUCAGGAACCACUUACAAGCUAUGGCAGGUGAUGUUCCAGCAUCCCACAGGGAGGAUUAUGCUGGUGAGCCACAUGGCCAAGCAGGACUAUGGCUUCAACAGCUCUGGGGCCUGCAUGUUCCUGCAUUAGCCCUACUCCAGCAAUGAGGCUGAAGUUACCAGAGUGACAUCAUGGUAUCUGGUGCAAGCUAUAGCAUCCACCUAUUCUUGGAGCACACGUGGUCAGACACUGAUUGGCAUGUGACCAAGUUGAUGGUGGUCAAAACAGAACUCCUUUCAUGCCCACAAGCUUCAGUAUUACUAUGUUCCCUGCCACUUCCGUUGAAGUUUUGCAGGAUUGGGAUGAUCCUUUGGUGUGAACGAAGCCCCAAAGAGGACCACGUGGAGAGUGCCUGACUGUUCCUGUGAUGUCUUCUAGUACAUGAACAGGAAUGAAACCCACUAUGUCCUCCAUGUGAACUACAUGCUGAGCGUGGGUCCAGAUGGGAAACCAUUCUCCUACCCUGCAGAAAUGGUAUAUAGUUUCAAGGAUGUGGGUAAGUACACCAAGUGAGGUGCUGGUCCUGGACUCAUGGAUGGUCUUGGUACCCAACAAGUUACACUGGCUCUGUCCAAACAACAGCUGUGGAAGCCCCUCCCAUGGGAGGGGGGUCCCACUGGGGCUACACAGAAGUAACUCCUCACAAGUGGCUUGUCUGCAUCCUGGGAUUGGAAACCCAGUAUAGAAGCAGCUGUUGGCAGACUCAUGAAGUAAUACAGAGAAUGGGUGGCUGCUCAUACAAUCAGCAGUAAGACUUCACUUAAAUCAUGCCAGGAAUGACAUGAACAGGACUCAACGUACCCCAUACAGUCUUCCCUCCCAGGUGCCACCACCCCUGAAAUAUUAACCUUGGUAGACUUCUCCUGUCAAGGUCACAGUAAGGGUAGCCAGUGGUAUCAAGACCUUGGUAUAAAUCAGACAUGGCCUUCUUCCCAGCAAGGUCAUUAGGUACCCAAUGUAGAGAUAGCAGGGAAAGGAUAUAAAAACAGGAAAGUUCCAGGUGAGUCAUCUUUUGCCCCUUGACUAGGCCUGCCUAUAGGUUUGACAGCUCCAGGAAGUAAGAAAACAGGUAUAUUGUCUUCCUUCCUAUAGCUCUGCUAGGUGUCAUCCUCUUAAGGUCACUAGGAUUCUAGUGUUGAAGGCUUGCUGCCACACAGAUGGCACUGUUCUAUCCUCAAAGCAUUUUCAGGGUGCCAUCUAAUGGGUCUGAAUCCUGGUUCCAUUGCAAACUUUAAGCAAGGAACUCAGCAUUAUCCAAUCCCCAUUUUCUCCAACUACUGGCCCCCUCUAAGGAGGCUGAAGAGUGAAAGCAUGUUGAACACCAAGAUGCUCUCCAAAGAUGGAGUCCUUCUCUUCUGAGCCCCACAGCUCUGCAAGAUGGGUAAAACUCAAGGUGGCAUUAGGCUCUGAGAGGAGCUCCAUCACACAGCUGGCAUAGUAUGGAGCUGGACCAGAGCCCAAAUCCCCUAUCUCCCCACUGUCCUAACCAAAAGCUUACACUUCAGAACCCAAGGCCGUGAACACAGACCUCACACAGCUGUAACCUGAGAAACUGCCAUUGCUGAUCUAGUGCCAGAACCACUUCCCCAUCCCUGGCUUUCCUGCUGACUUCCCACGAGAUAAGACUUUUCUUUAAAAAGGGGGCCUUCUCAGCCACACGCAGUGGAUCACACUGUAAUCUCAGCACUUUGGGAGGCCGAGGCGGGUGGAUCACUUGAGGCCAGGAGUUCGAGAUCAGCCUGGCCAACAUGGUGAAACCCCAUCUCUACUAAAAAUACCAAAAAAAAAAAAAAAAAAAAAAAAAAAAGCAGGGCAUGGUGGCAUGUACCUGUAAUCACAGCUACCCAGGAGGCACAAGAAUUGCUUGAACCCAAGAUGCAGAGGUUGCAGUGAGCCUGUUUGUACCCCUGCACUCCAGCCUGGGUGACACAGUGAAACCCUGUCUCAAAAAAAAAAAAAGGAGCCUUUGGCCAGGCACAGUGGCUCACACCUGUAAUCCCAGCACUUUGGGAGGCUGAGGCGGGUGGAUCACCUGAGGUCAGGAGUUUGAAACCAGCCUGGCCAAUAUGGUGAAACCCUGUCUCUACUAAAAAUACAAAAAUUAGACAGGCUUGGUGGCAUGCGUCUGAAGUCCCAGCUAUUCAGGAGGCUGAGGCGGGAGAGCCUCUUGAACCCUGGAGGUGGAGGUUGCAGUGAGCCGAGAUCACGCAAUUGCACUCCAGCCUGGGCAAUAAGAGUGAAACUGUCUCAAAAAAAAAAAAGAAAAGAAAAGCCUUCUUGGGCUGACCAAGGUGGAUCAUGCCUAUAGUCCCAGCACUUUGGGAGGCCUGGGUGGAAGGAUUGCUUGAGUUCAGAGGUUCAAGACCAGCCUGGGCAACAUAAUGGGACCCCGUCUCUACAAAAAAUUUAAAAAUUACCAUGGCAUGCUGAUACAUGCCUGUAGUCCCAUCUACUCGUGAGGCUGAGGCGGGAGGAUCACUUGAGCCCAGUAGAUGGAGGCUGCAGGUAGCCAUGAUUGUGCCACUGCACUCCAGCCUGGGCAAGAGUGAGACGCUGAAUCAAAAAUAAAAGGCAUCUCACUUAAGGGCCUUCACACUAGGGCUCCAGUGGAAAAGUAAAAGGGCCAAAGGGGAGUGAUGAGAAAUGGAUGCUUGGGAGAGAAUAGGCCUCCAACAAGAUUCUUCAGUCUUGGUAUGCCAAGGCUGGACAAUAAGGAGAAUCGGACCCCAACCUGAGUCCCAUUUACCCAUUGUGUACUUUUCACAGAAAUUCCCUAGGCCAUUGGCACCUGUGACAGUGAGAACCUAUACUUGGCCAUCCCAGUAACUGACCCGCUCUCCUGUUGGGAGCUCUACAUGGGACACUGGCACCUGAGCCGUAGGCCAGGACCCCUUGACAUAGUCCUCAUGACAGAUAACUCCACCCAUCUGCUAUUGGCAGUGCAACUCUUUUCUCCAGGGGCGCUGUAUGAGGGGGUCCCCCGAGGGCUUAAGCUGGUUGACGGGCUAAGGAGGGUGGAGAGAAGUUGUGCAGCCACUGUCCUGGGCCAUCAGUCACAGCGGUGUGUCACUUCAGACACAAGGAAGUGCCUGGAUGGUCUUGGUGCCCAACAAGUUGCAUUGGCUCUGUCCAAACAGCGGCUGUGGAAGCCCCUCCCAGGCCAGGGAUGCGGGCUUGAGCAAUCCCUGUCCAGUGUUCUCGGGGAGCAGAAUGUAUGGUAUCUAAUACAGUCUACAACAGCAUUUGUGAGGAAUGGCCUGUGUUUGGGUGCAUGUCAUGCCAUUAAAAUCCCUAGAACUAGAAAGAAGUGGCUUCCAGAUCCCAGGCCCCCUGGGCGACUCUCAGCAUCCUGGGCCCCACAGGCCUCAGCUGCCAGAUCUGCCCCAAUGGCCAGGACUGCGUGGCAUCUGUUUCUGAUGAAACUGAACCCAGCUGUGGGGUGGGUCCCAGGAUCUCUCCCUCCAGAGGAUUUGCGCCCAGCUUGAGGUGGCCCCAAAGAAAACUGACAUGCUAGAGACUCCAGAAACCUUCUCCAUGGAUUUACCCCAUUGGGAGAGAAAAGGCCUCCAACAAGACUCUUCAGUCUUGCUAUGUCAAGGCUGGACAAUAAGGAGAAUCGGACCCCAACCUGAGUCCCAUUUACCCAUCCUGUACUUUUCACAGGACUUCCCCAGGCCAUUGGCACCUGUGACAGUGAGAACCUAUACUUGGCCACCCCAGUAACUGACCUGCUCUCCUGUUGGAGCUCUACAUGGGACACCAGCUCCCAUGCAUUUAUCCCUUUUCAGACCUCACUGGUGAGAAGCUGGGCUUCUGGGUCCCCAUGCUGCUUCAUCCCACCUCCCAACCCUGUCUUCAGGCCCACUGCUGAUCCCAGUCUAGAACCACAGCACCGCCCCCAUCCUGCAUGAAGAAGGCCUUGUGCAUCUGCCUUGGUGAGAUCUUUCCAGGCUGACUGGUCUGUACUCCCUGGGGAGAUGAUCGAGACCAGCUCACACUGCUGUGUGUCACAUCCAUACCUUCUAUGGGAAAACUAACCCCCCUCGCCUCCUAUGUGAAGUCUCAGGCUUCACAGCCCAUUUCAAAUGCUGUUUCUCCUAUAACCACAUAGCCUGCCAACCACUGGAUCUCCUUUCUGGUUCCUCCCUCUCCCCCCAACUUUUUCCUUUUGAACUCUCAUAAUCAGAGCCAUAACCAUUUUCUGCCUUGCACUAGUUACUUGUCCUUGACUGUCUUUAUUUUCCCUUCUGAGCUGACUUUCUUGAAGGCAGGGCCCCCAACCUGAUCACCAUGCCUCAGAUAGUAUCCAGGUUUUGCCUUCAGCCCCUCAAAUAAUACAUAUAAAAAUGAACAAAUUCCAAUAUUUAUCCACAACCUACUUGAUGGCCUAAAAAUGCAUUUUAAAUGGGUGUGUCUGAGGUAACUUGUGAAAAGCCCUGGGGUCAGGAGCCAAGUCCUACCUCAAGGAGCAGCAUAAAGGCUUAGCCCAGCCUCGUCCAAGGACUGCCAGGUAAAAUAGAGAACAGACUUUGAUCAAAAUAUGGUUGGAAACAGGAUGGUUGUGAGAACUAUGGUUGUGUUCCUAGUGUGUUUCCCUAGUGGGACUGUGGCCAUCUCUUCCAUGAUGGCCACAGACCCUUCCAUUGACAUGUGCAAGGCCACACUGAAGGAUUGCACCUGCAAGCCAACAGAGUCUAGCAGCAACCAAACCUUCUUCUGACUUGACGUCACCAGCCGUGGUACCUCAGUGAGGGUGAGUAAGGCAAAAGGGCCACCUGCUCCUGCCAGGCCUUAGCAUACCAUCUAAGCUUUUUCUUCUCAGUCCUGUGGUAUUGUUCCAUUUUCACACUGCUGAUAAAGACAUACCUGAGACUGGGCAAUUUACAAAAGAAAAAGGGUUAAUGGACUGACAGUUCCACAUGGCUGGGGAGGCCUCAUGAUCAUGUCAGAAGGUGAAAGGCAUGUCUCACAUGGCAGCAGAUGAGAAGAGAAGACUUGUGCAGGGAAACUCCCCUUUAAAAAACCAUCAGAUCUCAUGAGACUUAUUCACUAUCACAAGAAAAGCACAGGAAAGACCUGCCCCCAUGAUUCAAUUACCUCCCACUGGGUUCCUUCUACAACAUGUGGGAAUUGUGAGAGCUACAAUUCAAGAUGACAUUUGGGUGGAGACACAGCCAAACCGUAUCACCCAUGUUCUCCAUAUGCUCUAAAAUCUUGGGUUAUGUAGUUUGAAGGUGACUAUAUUAUAUAUGAAAAGGGAAUCAUGUAUGAGAAGGAACCCUUGCUAUGAAGGGCUGGCCCACAAUUACAAGAUAUCCAGACUACAGGUGAGAUGGCCACUGUAUGAAUGGAAGUCAGCUGUGCCCCUGAGCUUCAUCUCACUGUUGUCCCCACCCCUGUCCUCAGGAAAUUCCAGCUGACUAGGGAAGAGAAUGCCAGUGUAUAGUUUGCAGCAGGAGGAACUCAAAACAUCAGUGACAGUGCCCCAAAAUGCUUCAGUUUCCAUGUUCUCUUUUUCAUUUUUUAGGUCCUAUUUUACUUCCUUACCUAAUACUUAUUAUAUUGGAGGUAUGAUGUAAAUUGGAGUAAUACUGACAGACCUUCUUCUUUGAUAGACUAAGCAGUGUUGCUAGAAACAAAUCAUUGCAUAACUAAAUCAUGAUCCACCAUGCACAUAGCCCACCAACCAAUGGAGAAGACCAGCAGAACAGAUAGUAGGCUAUCUCUUCCAGCCUCAAGCCCCAAUGCUGUCAUUCCUAAGUUGAGACGUUGAAGUCUCUUUGCCUCCCUGGUACAGAGUCUGUUUGCCUUGUCUUGUCCAUGAACCAGAGUUCCUUCAAGUCCUUUCUUGCUCUGCAGUUCUACAAACCAGUGAGCCUGCUCUUGCCUCCAUGCUUGUCCUAGGCUGAUGCUGCUCUGCUACUACUCAGUUAAAGAAACAUUGGCCCAAGAGGACAGGCACAAGGACAGGUGGAAGAAGAAAGCUGUCCUGCCACCAGGAGAUGGCAUGGUGGUAUGGCAGUCCCAGGUCCGAGGUCAAGGAGUGGCUGGGGAACAGAGGGAGAACUUUGAGUAUUUCUGCCUGGGUGCCCUCAGCUUGACAUUCUCUCAUUCAGCAGGGCCUCAGAGAGAGCAGACAGACACUGGAGAUCCAGGCAAGAGUAGCUCAAGCUGCAAAAAAGAGAAUAACCUGCUAGAGGUAGACUUUUACCCUGUCUCCCAGGGUGAGAAGGUCCAAUACCCCUCAUUGGUCAAGAAGCUGGUGAAGUUUGUGGCACCCAGAUUCAAAGAGGUGUAUCUGUACCACCUGACCCAAUCCUGCCUACACUUGGACCCUGACGGGCAUUGUGGUGGCCAGUACUAUCCAGAGGAGAGAGAAGGAGGUAAGAGCAGGCCCCUAGCCACGUGUCCAGUAGCAACACUGAGAAGUUCUGCCCCAAAGGUCCUGCCCAUAAAGUUCUCUGCACUUUCCCCCUCCAUCCCUCCAAACAAACUCACCCUUCUGAAAGCUGCCUCAAGUCCUGACCAGAUGGCACCCUCCUGCAGAAGUCCCUGAACAGCAAGCACUCUGCAUGUCAUGCCUACAUCUCAGCCUGAGGAACUCUUGAAGAGGCCUUUCCUCCAGAGCUGAGUGAGCUCUAAGAGCUCUUUGGCCAAAAACCCCUGGCUCUUGCCCAUCACACUUGCCUAGUGUCUGGCUACGAUAAUUUUCAGGCAUUUUAUGAAACAUUUAACAAGUCUGAUUACCCUUCUAGGAGACAGUCCUAGAAUAGAGGUCAUAUGAACAUAGAUCUUAGUCCUCCUGCCUCAGUGAGUCCCUCACCCCAUACACACCUUGAACUCAGGCCAGAAGAGAGCACUUGACCAUCUGGCUCUGGUUCCAGUGACUCCAGGACUUAUAUGCCCACAAGCCAAAAGAAGAUCAAGAUCUGAGUGGGAACUGUGGAAAGCAUGUCAUGCGAGCCCCUGCCGCCCUUGAAACUCUGCGUUCCUCCUCCUCAAAGAACAGUGCCUGAAGGUCCUGGCUGUGGCCCUGGCUGGCCAUCUUGCUUCCUGGUCACGGUGGUGGCCACUGUGCUGGUCCUGUCCAAGAUGACCUGUACAUCAUUCCAUGAAUGACACGUGACAACAGCUUCCCAGUGUAAUAAGCACAUUUAACCCAGCACUUGUCAGCCCCACUGUUCUGUUGGAAGUGUUCUAUCUCACUGAUCUUGCCUCUCCUAAAGCAAGGGACAACUCCUGGCACUCCGCUGCAGAGGCCCUUGAAGCCUGUUGGAAUUUUAGUGAAAUGAGAUGCCUGGCUUAAGCCAUGUUGCCUGGCUUCUCAAGUACCAGCGGACAUAUUACUAGCAAGGAAGAAGGCUAGCAGCAAGAAUGGUUAUUGCAUCCUAGAGGCAUUUAGUGGAGGAGAAAACUGCCCUGGUACCGCCAUAGCCCUAAGUGCUGCCCAGAGUUCUGAGCUCUCGAUGAGCACUUGGAACACGUCUGCCUGCAGCCUCCCUACACUUUUUUAUGACUUGUCCUACUUGUCAAGCCCAGCUUGUCCCACUUCUCCACAUGAGUCUUCCAGUGACAUCUUUGUGACCAUCUCCACCCCCUGGGUAAAUGCUCCACGCUGGGAGUCCACAAAACACAGUCUGACUUAGAGAUUCUCUGGCAUGACUCUCUUCCCCACUGUGUACACUGACUGCCUUAGAUGUAGGCCUCUUGUUUGGGGCCCUUCCUGGCCAGACCCUGAAGCAGCCUCUGAGGAGGGUGGUAAGAAUGGUUCCCUAGAGCCCAGUUACAGAGUCUGCCUCCUUUCCAGAUCAUGCUGUAAUGGACUGAGAUCUCAACUCAGCCCACACUCUUUCCUGGCCUACAUAGCCGUCUCAGAAGGGCAAUGUUUCUCGCUGUUAAAGCGGGUGGUCCCUCUUGCUAACCUAGCUGAGCAUCAGGUACUGGUUAGCUGUAAGGGCUGGGAAGUGGGGGGUGUACCCAUUGGCCUUGGUGAUGAAGACAGCCAGGUAUCCAAGUCCCAGCCGGGACUCCUGCUGGGCCAUAAAGGCUUCAAUAUGCUGGCUUCUCCCCAUUGAGGACCUCAGGCCCCAGUUCAUUAUCAGGAUUUUAGAAAUACCAAGAACAUCAAAAGAACAGAAAAGAGGCCCUUAAGGGACUCCUAAUAAGAUAGAAUUUGCAUGUCCUCAUUGGACUAGAACCUGAACUGCUUUAAAAAGCAAAAGGCCCUUGGUACAAUCUGAUGGAUGUGACUGUACAGAGAAGAGGAAACACCUCUGAGGGGAGUGAGAGGCCUUGGUAAGGAAGUUGCAAUCUGGAGCCACCUGGGCAGGUCAGAGCUCUAUAAGCAGGAGAAGCCAAGGGCAUAACACACAGUAGUGCAGGUGUCAGCCAGGAAUCAAGGCUAUGACAGCUGGAGUCCCGGGCCAAGAACUACAGGGGGAAGGAGGAGAAAUGCUUGUUCCCCCAACUCCUAUCUCCUGCCAUGGGGGUGGACUUCUACUAGCUAUGACAUUCCUACCAUCUCUCUGCCUCUUCCCUCUCUCUUUUCUCUCUGCCCCACCCUGGGACACGGUGACUUCCCUGAUGCUAGGGGGAGGGGAUGGUGUGGGUUAAAAAAAAAAAAACAAGCUGCAUAGCUCAGCCCCUUCCUCUCUCCCCUCACUCUCCUGGGGGUGCCUGCUUUCAGAGUCUGUGCAGCUCUUGUCUCCUUCUUACCAUAACCCUACCUGGGCGGCAGCAGCCGCCGCCCACACCCUCCCCUACCCCCAUGGCACUGCCUGCCACAUCCAGGACCAUUUCCGAAUUCUGAGGCUCUGUUGUCGGAGUGUCCCCUCUAAGCUGCAUCCUGCAACCCAGUCCUAUUCCCAGAGAAGCCCAACAUCCCCUCUGGAUCUGCCUGUCUGCAUUACCGUUUGGUUCAAAACCCAGUGCUGGUUACUGGGCCUCUCAGGACACCAGGGAGGCUGGGCUGGGGAGGACUGGUGGGCGAGCUGUCCCCUCCACAUUCUGCCAAUGCCUGGGACGUGAAACUCAUUCCUGUUUCCAUGAGACUCGUAUCCUUAAUGUCCCUUUUGACUUCAGCUAAUUCUGAGUAAGUUUUUGACCCUCGCACCUAAAUUUGGCCCAAGGCAGAAACAGCGGGGAUUGGCUUCUCUGACGGCUGAGUCACUUGUCUUCCUGUCUUCUCCCUCAUAUUCCACUUCUUGUGGGCGUGAAUUAAAGUAGAACCAGGCAGGCGACACUCUCCUGUUGGUGACCAGCGUUCCACAGUAAAAUGGGGUGUGACAGCAGCUGGCAGAGCAGCAGCCUGCCCGGGGCUGUGGGCCACAUCCCCCCUCCACCCCAACCAAGCAGCCUGCCCUGCCCUGGUGCCAGGCGCCAAUCGGCUGAGCAAAAUAGGCUGAACUCAGGCCCUGCGAGGCCAGGACGGCGCCUAUCAAGAACUCCUGUUCCCUCCAGGGCAAGAAGAGGGAGGAGCGAGGCUUGCCCUGAGCGGAGGGGCUUCAAAACUGAGCCCUGGGCAAAAUGGGGCAAGUUGGUCACCCUAGAGGGAGCUUAGGUUUAAGGAAAAGAAUCUGGGACCUUCUAGCUUUGACUCCAGUCUAACAUAACUCUCUGAUUGUCCCUUUAGUAAAAUAGAAAUAAUGUCAGUCUUGAAAGAAUGUCAUGAGGCUUUCAUGAGGACACAUGGAAAUGGCAGACAUUUGUCUUGCUGGAAGGUUCUCCCGUUUCCCCGCCCCUAUUCCAGGUAGGUUGCUGUCCUCAGUACCUGAGGUUUUAUGUGGAAUCACCAUUCUCCUUCCCAUGAUUGUAAGUCAGAUUAUAAGCAGCAUUUGAGUAGAUGGAAAUGUGAUUAGGUCUAUGUCCCUCAUCCCAACAUUCUUUAUGCCAGCUUUCAUUCCCACAGCUCCAGCUGGAGACAUGCACCCACAACUUAGCAGUGCCUUGGGGUGUCCUGUCUACUGCAGGACGUCUUCAGUGCCCAUAACGUUCUUCUCCAAAUUAGGUUUCUGAGCCUUUGCAUAUUACAUCACAGGGCUGGGCCCAUGGGACUGCAAUCCGGGAGGAUGGUCCUAGGCACAAAAUUGAAUCUUGAGAUAGGUCUAAGGUUUGCCAUCAGGAUUAAUGAAAAUAAGUGUACACCGGGGCAUGCUUCACUAACUGGAAGUCACUAUUAUUAAACUGAGAACCGGAAGGGCUAGAUCUGGUCAUAAUUCUGUUAACCAACUGCAUAACCUUUAAGCCGGAACCUUUACCUGUAAAAUAAAGGAGUAGAUGAUUUCUCCAGUUCCUUCCCGCUCAAGUGUCCUAUGACUGAUUAAAAUUAUGUGUCCAUUAAGCAGCUCAAAAGGAAUUAUGUCUGGCUAUCUGAAAGCUCACAGCCAGCCAAGGAGGAAGUGCACUAAAGGCGAGGCCCGGCUGCUCCCCAGCCCAGCACUGCUCGCUGCUGUGUUAAUUGACAAUGAUGGAACAAAGCACAUUUUAUGAGAGUUCAUGAGUAGGAAGUCCAAGGAGCCUAUACAUUAGUCACGUCUGAAAAUCUUCCUUGCUGGUCCUGCAAGCCAGAGGAGCUGGCCACUGCCACUUACCCAGAUGAAGGACAUGUCGAUCCAGAAAAGGGAACAGUUAGCCAACAUUGCUUUAUUUGCUCAAUCGUAAUAACUUUUUCCAGGGAGAAAACCCACGUAAAACUAUUGGAGACAGAAUUCUGGAUCAAGUCAGGCCACAACAUAAAAUUACAUGGUAACAAUGGUCUCCAAUUUGAGAGAAGCAGCAUAAUGCACCCCAACCUCCCACAAAAACCUCAAACCCUUGACUCGGGAAAACAAGAAGGUCAUCUUCCAUCGGCCCUUUCCUCCACUGUCCUUCUCCCCAGACUCCCUUGUGCUUGUAUAGGGCAGGGAGGGGUAAGGAAAACAGAUCAGUUGCCCUGGGACGUCAAUCACCCUGUUGAAACUGGUCUGAGUGCCAGACAGACAACCAACAUGGCUCCUGCCUUCAGGGUCCACAUCUUGAAGAGGGAGAGGAACACAGGAAAUGGAAAAGCACCCUGGAAUUAGAUGCUGGGCCAGAUGAACUGGAAGUAGUUCUUAAACUUGAGUGUGCCUCAGACUCCCCAGGGGCCUUGUUAAAACACAGAUGGCUAGACCCUACCCCCAGGGAGCUAGAUUCACUUGGCUUGGGGUAGGGCUGAUAUUUUGCAUUUCUAACAUGGUCCUAGGUGCUGCUGGUCCAUAGACCAUGUGCUGAGAACCAGUACUACAGACAGUGCUCCCCAUACUUUAGUGUGCGUAUGAACCGCCUGGGGGCCUGGGUAAAGUGUGAGCUCUGAUUCAGCAGGUCUGGUACAGGGCUAGGGAUCUGCAUUUCUAACAAGCUCCCAGGUGAUGCCAAUGCUGCCGGUCUGUGGUCCCCAUUCAGUAGCAAGGGUGCUCCAUCUAGACCAGAGUGUGAUGGAAGUUAGAGAAUGAGAUGAGUUUGGGUUGAUAUUGGCAGGGAAGGUUUAAUGGUAGUUACUGGGACUUGGGCUGGUCCCAGAAGAAUGAGCAGGAUUUAAAUAAAUGAAAAGGCUGUAUUCUGGGAGAGAAAUUUGAACACAGACAGGGCGGUGGGAUUGAGAAUAGCAAGGGUAGAGGAGUGGGCACUGGCCAUUGUCACAGAUGAGUGACACACCGAGGCUUGGGGCCCUGCAUGCAGGCGCCUUGCUCCAUCUGCCUCCACACCACCCUCCCCAAGCAAGAAGCUGGUGCAGUUCCAGUAAGUCUACUGGCAGCCAGUCUUCAUAAUGGAAAUAAUUAUUGUUCUGUGAGUCCCAGACUGACAGCUCCCAAUCCUGCCUGCUCAGCCAACUGGGUUAUUUUUUCACCUGGCUUGUUAGCAAUGGUUUGUUGUUUGGCAGCAUGAAGUGACUCCCACUUUUCCUUUCCAAUCUCAAGUCAGAGAAACCUCAGUUCUCCGAGAGUUGAAUGUCUCGAAGCCACACGGGGGUGGUUAUGGAUUUCUCAGCAGGCAGCCAGGGCAACCAGCAUGUUCUAUAUGGUGCUCAGUCAUGGGUUCCUCUCCUGAUCCAGUGAGGGUCAUGAUCAGAUAAAGGAGUAAUAGCCCCUUCUUUCCCACACCCACCCCCCAACCUUGGAAGUCUUCCGUUUUCAGGUUUGUUCUAACAAAAGGCUCACCUUUUCUUCAAUAGAGCUGCAUGUGUAGGUGCAGAAACAUGCGAGCUCAUGUGCAAAAGGCCUGUCAUUUGAAAAUGAAACUACUAUUUAUUGGGUUUCCCAGCAGUGCUGUAACGAGGCACUACAAACUGAGUGGCUUAUAACAACAGAAAUUUAUUUUCUCACAGUCCUGGAGACUGGGGAGUCCAAAAUCAAGGUGUUGGCAAGGGCAUGCUCCCUCUGAAGCCUCUAGGGCAUGGACCUCACCCCUGGGGAGCUGGAAACCCUUCCUUGCUUUUUCCAGUUUCGGGUAUCCCUGGGUGUUCCUUGGCUUGUGGCAGAACCACUCCAGUCUCCACCUCUGUCUUCACAAGCCGUUCUCCCCAGUGUCUGUGUCCAAAUUUCCUUUUCCUUGUAAGGACAUCAGUCACACAAGGUAUCUGUAAGGACCCACCCUACUCCACCUGCAUCUUCUUAACUAAUUAGAUCUGUCAUAACUUUAUUCCCAAAUAAGGUCACAUUCUGAGGUACUGGUAGUUAAAACUCCAACAUAUCUUUUUGGGGGGCCCAAUUCAACUCCUAACAGGUAACUUUAUAGUUUAUAACAUUAUAUUACCUGCUGAAUUUGACCUUGUCUUUUAGAGGGGCUUUUUCCUCUAAACUAGAAUAGUGACCUGUUUUAAAUAAAAUCGAUGCUGAACUAUAAAUCAGGCCCUAUUCUCAAGGUCAGCUGAGAAGGGCUCAAACACUUAUCCACCCCAUACCUAUUAGCCAGUGAUGAAUCUGUAAGCUCUAAAUAGCAAGUUACUGAGCAGAUUAUGAUAAUGAAUUCACUUAUCCAUUCAACACAUGUAAGGCCCUUCUGCAUGCCAGGCCGUGGUGCUGAGGACACAACAGUAAACAAAAGAGACAAAAGUCCCUGCCCUCUCAGAGCUUGCCUUCCAGUGUGGGAAAGACAAAAUAAAUAAGAACAUGGUUUGGGUAAACAGAAAAAAGAUGAGUAUGAUGAGGAUUUGCUAUUUUAAAGAGAGCGGUCAGAGAAGGGCCAGGAUAAGGCCAUGGGGUAAGGCAGGGAGAAAACAGCACAUGUAAGUUCCUCAACGUGAGUCUUUGUGAAGACUCUGCUUCUCACUGAGAGAAGCCAUGGCACACUCCCAAACCUUCACUCUGGUGGCUGUGUUGAAACUGACUUUGGAGGUAAAACUGACAAAGCAGGAUACUUGCAAUACAGAGGGGCUGAUGUCUUGGCUUUGGGUGGUAGCGGAUGAGAUGAAAAUUGCUGGAAUCGGGAUCUGUUUCAAGGUAGGAACCCACAGUGUUUGCCGCUGGGGAGCACUGGGACCAAGUCUGGCAUGAGAGGCGGGACAGUACAGCUGCCAUUAGCUGUGCUGGGGGAGGACCAGGAACUCCGUUUGGGAUGCUUUAAGUUUGCACAACAUCAACUCUGUGAUCUUAAAAAGAGCUUUCCAAUAAAGUGGAAAUAGGUUCAAAUAACGUGGUGCCAAAAGAAUACAUUCAAAGGUAUUCUUGGUACACAGGAGUCAAAAUUGCCUAGAGGGAAAAGAGGCACUCAGGUGGUGAACACAACUAAUAGUAAUUUUUUCAAGAGGUGACUAGCAGCCAUAGGAAAGGGAGCCUUUUAACCCUUUGUUUCUAGUUAUUCUGGCUAAAAAUGGUUAGCUGUAGAGAAAAAUAUGAAAGGCGGGGGGUCUUUUUAUUUAUACCUCCUGUACUGUUUUAAUUUUUAUUACCAUAGCCAUGUAUUAAUUGUAUAUCAAGAAAUUGGCAAGCACUUUUCAUGCGGCUUUAAAAAUUAUGUGUCAAAGCAGAAUAAGGUAGACUUCUAAGUUCUUACACAAAAGAAUGUUCAAAAUAAUAAGUGAUUUAAGUUACCAAAUAAUAUGUAUACCAUAAUUCUGCGCAUGUAUCUGCAUACCUGUGCCCAUGUAUUUGUACAAAGAAAAAGGCCUAGAAGGAUAGACAGGAACUGCUUUUUACCUUAUAUUCUGCAGGUUUGCCACUUUUAAAAGGAGUACUUUUUGCAUGUGUUUAAAUUGAAUGUGAUGGCCUUCCCUCUACUUCGCUUCAGCCAGAGCUCAAGCCUCCACACACUCCAAACAAGAAUUGUUGAAUAGUUUAAAGAAAUAGGCGGGCUGGGCACGGUAGCUCACGCCUGUAAUCCCAGCACUUUGGAAGGACGAGGCAGGCAGAUCAUGAGGUCAGGAGUUUGAGACCAGCCUGACCAACGUGGUGAAACCCGGUAUCUACUAAAAAUACAAAAAUGAGUUGGGCUUGGUGGCACAUGCCUGUAAUCCCAGCUACUCAGGAGGCUGAGGCAGGAGAAUCCCUUGAAACCCAGGAGGUGGAGGUUGCAGUGAGCUGAGAUCACGCCACUGCACUCUAGCCUGGGCAACAGAGCGAGACUCUGUCUCAAAAAAAAAAAAUAAAUAAGCAACAGAAAAAAAAACUGAAGCUUUUCAGUCCCCCUUGGCUCUUAUUCCUGCUAGAAAUAAUGUGACUAUGUAAUAAUAAAUUCUACUUAAGGGUUGUAUCAGUCUGUUUUCACACUGCUAUAAGGAACUGCCCCAGUCUGGGUAAUUUAUAAAGGAAACAGGUUUAAUUGACUCACAGUUCAGCAUGGGUGGGAAGGCCACAGGAAACUUGCAAUCACGGCAAAAGGGGAAGCAAGGCACCUUCCUCACAAGGCAGUAGGAAGAAUGACAGAAGGAGGAACUUGCCAAACCCUUAAAAACCAUCAGAUCUCGUGAGAAUUCACUCACUAUCACGAGAACAGCAUCGGGGAAACAGCUCCAUGAUUCAAUUACCUCCACCUGGUCUCUCCCUUGACAUGUGGGGAUUAUGGGGAUUACAAUUCAAGAUGAGAUUUUGGGUGGGGACACAGCCAAACCAUACCAAGGGUUUUUUGUUGUUUCUUCAGUAGUAGGGCCAAAAUGUUUUUUGAAGUUAAGCACGAUUCUUAUAAGAAUAUAGAAUGAAAAUGUGAAAAAUGUUUAACUCAUUAAUAGAGAACCGCCAGAGUGGUAAAAGAGCAUUAGAAUAACUGAGUACUUAUGGUCCAUGAAGAAAGAAUUUGGGAAUAAAGUUGCUAGGUUAAAUACAAAACUGGUUAACGUUCUUCAGGGCAAUACAGCCAAAACUUUUGGGGUUAUCUUUUCUACCAGAGUUCAUUUGCAUCUCCUCUGGACAAAAAUCUGCAAGUUACAUGCAACCUCCCAGAGUCUGGGCCCUAAUCAAGAGUAAAUAGAAAAUCAAAGAAAGGCACACACAUGGCUCCCCAAAAGAAUUAAACAGUCGUUGAGUGGGUCUGCUGGUAUGAUAUUGAAAUGCCAUGCAAAUCCUUUUGCCUUAUUUCUACGUAUUGGAUGCUUUUUUUGACAUAAGAUAAAAAUUUACAUAUUGGCAGCUGUAGCUAUCUAGUUUCCAAAUGGAGUUUGCUCUUAAAAUUAAUCUGCUUUUCACCAUCUUUUGUGUCUGUUUUUAAUAAGAAAAAUGACCACCAAGCAAUGUGGGCAUUGCAAUAACAUUCCAUUAUUUAAAAACAUACUUUAAUAUUAUUCUGAUACUCACUUUGCUGGGUACUAAAACAUUUUAUGAGCAAUUUAAAUUUUUUAUCAGGACCAAAAAAAAAAAAAAAAGUCCACAUAUCUGCUGUGAGUUGAUGCCAACAGCAAAAACAUUGAUACUCAUUGCAGUUUCAAAUAUUUAUAUGGAUUUUGGACACAACCUUGCACAAGUUACUCAAUUUCUUAGCUUCAUCCUCUAUGCAGAAUAAGACCUUCACUAAACUGCUAUAUUUAUGAUUUUGUGAUGACACAUAUAAACCUGGGAUUACACUGUUGUGUUCCUAUUUUACUUUUAUAUCCACAUUCAUAAUUUCAGUUUCGGGGCUUCCUUACAGGUUGCUUGUUUUAUAAUUUGUCUUGCUACAUGACGUGUUCUUUUACCUUCUUGUGAUUUUAAAAAGGAUAAACUAUGUGUUUUAAUUGUAUCAAUUGCUUUGUUUUUUCAAAAACAGAAAUUAGACUAUACUCAUCCUUCUUUCCUUUCUGUAGAGUGAAAUGGUGUCAUUUGAAGUCCCUUAACAUUAGAUUUGAAAUUUAACAAAUCUCACUCUCCCUCUUUUACCAACUGCCAUUUUAAAUUAUGGGCAUUCUGUUCUCACAAUUUACUGUCACAUUUUUUAGAAACACAGAAAACACCAAAAUGUGAAUUUAUAUAGAAAUUGUUAAAAUUACACACCUAGCGUAAAUAGCAAAUAUUCAGUCAACUUUUCACUAUGCUCUUGAAAAGCUAUUACACAUUUGUCAACAAUUUGUUUAGCGUAGCAAUAUGUUAACCUAAACACACUAAAUUCAGCAUCCAUUUCAGGCAGAGAUGAGCCGUCUGAUUUACUCAACACAUUUCUAGUUAGAGAGCAUCACAUGAGACAAAGUGGAAUCGUGCCACAUAUUUGAAUGAAGCCAGAAGCAGCACUUUUUAGGACUCUUAGAUCUGUUUUGUGCAUGAGCUGUUGUUUUUGAAACACUCUCAUGUUUAGUCAUUAAUUUGCAUAAAAUUUUUUCUGUGUUGUAACUUUAAGUGCAGUUUGCAUGCAAGACCAGUAUACCCAAAAACCUUGAAAAAAUGGUGCAGCAACUCUGAAUAUACCUUCAAACCAUUGAACUGUACACUUUAAAUGGGUAAACUAUAUGAUAUAUGAAUUAUUCUCAAUAAAACAAAAAACUAGCACAGUAAACAUUCAUGCUCAGCCUAGACAAUGUGGUGAAACCCUAUCUCUACAAAAUAUACAAAAAUUAGCUGGGCAUGAUGGCGCAUGCCUAUAGUCCAAGCUACUUAGGAGGCUGAGGUGGGAGGAUCACCUGAGCCCAGGGAGGUCAAGGCUGCAGUGAGCUGUCAUCAAGCUACUGCAAUCCAGCCUGGGCAACAGAGUGAGACCCUGUCUCAAAAAAGAAAAAAAAAAAACAUGCUAUUACGGUUUAUAUACAAACUGUUUACUUCUGAGUUAAAUUUUUAAGGGGGCUAGACUUAGCAGAAAGGGAGACAUUGAGACAAGAAUCAGUGUAAACGCUGAGUGGUAGGUGGGGUUGAAAUAUAUCAUGCCCACGGAGAAAGAUUUAAGACCUACAAAAUGACAGGGAGCCAAGGCUACAUUUAGGAUUCAGAGGGUAGAGAAGCCAGUGAAAAACAGAAAACCAAAAAAGACAGAGCAAAAGAGCAAAUGACAGAGCAAAAGAGCAAAUAGAUAAUGACUAAAGACUAACUUGGAUAUUUGCUUUGCUAUCAUAAAGUAAAGGGUUUUAUUCAGUUCCAAAUUUCAGAAAAAAACAAAUAGCUCCACACUUUUCAACUACUGUUAGGAGUAAUAUUCUAAACUCAAAAGUAACUUAAAUCCAUUUUAUCCUAUCUUACCUCACUUUGUGAAAGAGAAACCUUAUAACAAACCACAAUUCUUUUGUUUUUACAAAGGAAAAAAUUAGAAAACAUAAGUUACUUUUCUAGUAGAAAAAGGAAAUAACGAAUACUGAAAUGUGGGAAAUAUGAACGGUAAUGAAUAUAUUUUAAGGUAAAUAUCCAAGGUAUUAUUUGGUCAAUCAGAAACUUAGAAUCUGAAUAAUGCCUAAAGUUUCAACGCUAAACAAGGUAAAUGAAUUAUUCUUUAUUUCCAGUAACAAGACAAGAGAAAAUGAGUGCCUGGGUCUACAAUCAGCAACUGCUGAUUCUGAACUUAAGUGACUUUUUUUUUUUUUUUUCUGAUAAAGGAUGAAGAAAUUUUGAAUAUAAUCUAACAAACCACAUGAAAAUGUUAAACAAUUUUUCCUUUUCAUAUUCCAUCUGAUCCCAGUCAAGAGUAAAGAGAAUAUGAGUCAAGAGAAAAUAAAAUUAAACAUUAAGCAUUUGCUUCUCUGGGUGGAAUGGCUUAAAGCUUUCCCUCCCAAGGUCUAGGAAACUUGCUUUUUUAAAAAAAAAGUUUUCCUAAGGAUUUUUCUACAUUUUAAUGCAAUUUUAGAAAUUUUUUUAGAUUUCCAACAAAUAUAAGAUAAACCGUUUUGGAAAGUAUGAAUAAUUCCAGAAACAGAGACUUUGUUUCUAGGCCAUGAAACUUAAUUUCCUCUUAAUAUUCACUUACCUACAGCCCAAACUCUCCAUGUAUUUUGCCAGAUAUUACUUAUGAGCUACAAACAGGGCAAUUACUUUUUCUGCUUCAUGAGAUUACUCAUACACACACAAAAAAAGCAUUUUAAGGCUGCUGCUGCUGAUUGCAUCUGAGGCCACAGAAGUUACCCUGCGCCUUCCUCUGAAGACACAAAGCAAACUUUCCUUUCUCCUGAUUCGGGUAAUUUCCACCACAGAACAGCUUUUCCAUAGCAGUAAUAAACUAGUUUGGGAAUCUUUGGAAGCCAAACAACAAUAAAAUACAAAAAAUGUAGAUGGCAUAUGGCUGGUGUUAGUCUGUUUUCCCUUCAAGUUCUUCCCGGUUUUUGAUAGCUUCAUAAGGGCCUAAUUGUUGGCAGCACCAAAAUAAAAGAUUUUUAAACUUUAUACUUACUAAGUGCUUUUUGUCAUUUCCUCACCUCUCUAUACAUUCCUACCUGAUCACCAAAUUAUUAUGGAGAUUUGAACAGUGCUUGGC